RNAcentral lists this ribosomal RNA (148 nucleotides) under Cercozoa sp. RNAcentral's name for it is "partial small subunit ribosomal RNA". It matches the Rfam family "Eukaryotic small subunit ribosomal RNA", at positions 1296 to 1461 of the family's 1831-position model. The record is from RNAcentral. Lineage: Eukaryota; Cercozoa.
AGUUGGUGGAGUGAUUUGUCUGGUUAAUUCCGUUAACGAACGAGACCUCGACCUGCUAAAUAGUUUGGCGAAUUCUUCGGGAUACGCGCAACACUUCUUAGAGGGACUAUCGGUGUGUAGCCGGUGGAAGUUCGAGGCAAUAACAGGU